This 301-nucleotide ribosomal RNA is filed under the name uncultured bacterium. RNAcentral's name for it is "partial 16S ribosomal RNA". It matches the Rfam family "Bacterial small subunit ribosomal RNA", at positions 509 to 809 of the family's 1533-position model. The record is from RNAcentral.
CAGCAGCCACGGUAAUACGAAGGGGGCUAGCGUUGUUCGGAAUUACUGGGCGUAAAGGGCGCGUAGGCGGCCAUUCAAGUUAGAUGUGAAAGCCCUGGGCUCAACCUAGGAAUUGCAUUUGAUACUGUUUGGCUUGAGUUCGGGAGAGGUGAGUGGAAUUCCCAGUGUAGAGGUGAAAUUCGUAGAUAUUGGGAAGAACACCAGUGGCGAAGGCGGCUCACUGGACCGACACUGACGCUGAGGCGCGAAAGCGUGGGGAGCAAACAGGAUUAGAUACCCGCGUAGUCCCUGUCUCUUAUAU